This 232-nucleotide long non-coding RNA is filed under the name Mytilus galloprovincialis (Mediterranean mussel). Lineage: Eukaryota; Metazoa; Mollusca; Bivalvia; Mytilida; Mytilidae. The record is from RNAcentral.
UAAGGGACGACAUCAAAAGUUCAAUGUAGGAUAAAAAACUUAAUUCAUAUAGUUUUUUCACUGACCCCCUACCCCCCUCUUAACUUAAUUUGGGAAAAAUUGAUUGACCAAUAAGGAUAUAUAUAUAAUCGAUGUCAAUUAAACAAAACUUGCAGCAAUGUUGACCCCCACCCCCAAACUAUUUGAAUUAAGUUUUUUAUCCUUCAUUGAUUUUUUGAUGUCGUCCCUAAAU